Molecule: ribosomal RNA, 298 nt
Filed under: uncultured Sphingomonadaceae bacterium
Lineage: Bacteria; Pseudomonadati; Pseudomonadota; Alphaproteobacteria; Sphingomonadales; Sphingomonadaceae
Description: partial 16S ribosomal RNA
Rfam family: Bacterial small subunit ribosomal RNA
Source: RNAcentral
UAACGCGUGGGAAUCUGCCCUUUUGUUCGGAAUAACGUUGGGAAACCGACGCUAAUACCGGAUACGCCCUACGGGGGAAAGAUUUAUCGCAGAAGGAGGGGCCCGCGUCGGAUUAGCUAGUUGGUGGGGUAAUGGCUUACCAAGGCGAUGAUCCGUAGUUGGUCUGAGAGGAUGAUCAGCCACACUGGGACUGAGACACGGCCCAGACUCCUACGGGAGGCAGCAGUGGGGGGUAUUGGACAAUGGGCGCAAGCCUGAUCCAGCAAUGCCGGGUCAGUGAUGAAGGCCUUAGGGUUGU